Molecule: ribosomal RNA, 595 nt
Filed under: uncultured bacterium
Lineage: Bacteria
Description: bacterial SSU rRNA
Rfam family: Bacterial small subunit ribosomal RNA
Source: RNAcentral
GGAAUAUUGGGCAAUGGGAGGAAUCCUGACCCAGCGACGCCGCGUGAACGAUGAAGGCCUUAGGGUUGUAAAGUUCUUUUAUGUGGGAAGAAGGAAGUGACGGUACCACAUGAAUAAGCCCCGGCUAACUACGUGCCAUCAGCCGCGGUAAUACGUAGGGGGCGAGCGUUGUCCGGAAUUACUGGGCGUAAAGGGCACGCAGGCUGUGAUUCAAGUCAGCUGUAAAAGGAUGCGGCUUAACCGUGUUUAGCAGUUGAAACUGGAUGACUGGAGUGCUGGAGAGGCAAGUGGAAUUCCCAGUGUAGCGGUGAAAUGCGUAGAUAUUGGGAAGAACAUCGGUGGCGAAGGCGACUUGCUGGCCAGUAACUGACGCUGAGGUGCGAAAGCCAGGGUAGCAAACGGGAUUAGAUACCCCGGUAGUCCUGGCUGUAAACGAUGAAUGCUAGGUGUGCGAGCAGAGAUGUUGGUGUGCCGCAGUUAACGCGAUAAGCAUUCCGCCUGGGGAGUACGGUCGCAAGAUUGAAACUCAAAGGAAUUGACGGGGGCCCGCACAAGCGGUGGAGCACGUGGUUUAAUUCGAUGCAAACCGAAGAAC